AAGUCCGUAACGAGCGCAACCUUGUCCUAGUUACCAGCACGUUAUGUGGGCACUCUAAGGAGACUGCCGGUGACAAACCGGAGGAAGGUGGGGAUGACGUCAAGUCAUCAUGGCCCUUACGGCCUGGGCUACACACGUGCUACAAUGGUCGGUACAAAGGGUUGCCAAGCCGCGAGGUGGAGCUAAUCCCAUAAAACCGAUCGUAGUCCGGAUCGCAGUCUGCAACUCGACUGCGUGAAGUCGGAAUCGCUAGUAAUCGUGAAUCAGAAUGUCACGGUGAAUACGUUCCCGGGCCUU
This 297-nucleotide ribosomal RNA is filed under the name uncultured Pseudomonas sp. Its description in RNAcentral is "partial 16S ribosomal RNA". It matches the Rfam family "Bacterial small subunit ribosomal RNA", at positions 1082 to 1382 of the family's 1533-position model. Lineage: Bacteria; Pseudomonadati; Pseudomonadota; Gammaproteobacteria; Pseudomonadales; Pseudomonadaceae. The record is from RNAcentral.